RNAcentral lists this ribosomal RNA (619 nucleotides) under Calothrix sp. KE31. Its description in RNAcentral is "bacterial SSU rRNA". It matches the Rfam family "Bacterial small subunit ribosomal RNA", at positions 188 to 830 of the family's 1533-position model. Lineage: Bacteria; Bacillati; Cyanobacteriota; Cyanophyceae; Nostocales; Calotrichaceae. The record is from RNAcentral.
AUGUGCCUUUGGGUGAAAGAUUAAUUGCCUGAAGAAGAGCUCGCGUCAGAUUAGCUAGUAGGUGGUGUAAAGGACUACCUAGGCGACGAUCUGUAGCUGGUCUGAGAGGACGAUCAGCCACACUGGAACUGAGACACGGUCCAGACUCCUACGGGAGGCAGCAGUGGGGAAUUUUCCGCAAUGGGCGAAAGCCUGACGGAGCAAUACCGCGUGAGGGACGAAGGCUCUUGGGUCGUAAACCUCUUUUCUCAAGGAAGAUAAUGACGGUACUUGAGGAAUAAGCAUCGGCUAACUCUGUGCCAGCAGCCGCGGUAAUACAGAGGAUGCAAGCGUUAUCCGGAAUGAUUGGGCGUAAAGCGUCCGCAGGUGGUUUUGUAAGUCUGCUGUUAAAGCGUGUGGCUCAACCACAUAAGGGCAGUGGAAACUAUGAGACUAGAGUAUGUUAGGGGUAGAGGGAAUUCCCAGUGUAGCGGUGAAAUGCGUAGAGAUUGGGAAGAACACCGGUGGCGGAAAGCGCUCUGCUAGGACAAUACUGACACUGAGGGACGACACCGAGAGGAGAGAAUGUGAUUAUAGAUCUCAUCAUCAGACCGCGGCGGGGGCGGAAGACCGGCUCGGG